CUAAAGAUGAGGCUGCGGCGGAUUAGGUUGUUGGCGGGGGAACUGCCCACCAAGCCUGUGAUCCGUAAGGGCUCUUAGCGGAGAGGCCAUGAGAGGUAAUCUGAGACACUAUUCCCAGCCCUACGGGGUGCAGCAGUCGGGAGUUUUCUGCAAUGCGCGCAAGCGUGACAGAGCGAACCAAAGUGUUUCUCAUUGAGAAACUUUUGCCAAAUGUAAAAAGUUUGGCGAAUAAGGACUGGGUAAGACUAGUGCCAGCCGCCGCGGUAAUCCUAGCGGUCCAAGUCGCAGCCAACAUUAUUAGGUCUAAAACAUCCGUAGCUUGCUCUGUAAGUCUCUUGUGAAAUCUGACAUCUCAAGUGUCAGGCGUGCAAGAGGUACUGCAAAGCUAGAGACUGGAGAGACGUAAGAAGUACGGUUAAAGUAGUGGUAAAAUACGUUAAUCUUAGCCGGACUCACAACAGCGAAGGCAUCUUACGAGAACAGUUCUGACAGUGAGGGAUGAAGGCUAGGGGCGCAAAACGGAUUAGAUACCCGUGUAGUCCUAGCAGUAAACACUGCACACUAAACAUCGGGAUCUCCUCGAGAGGUUUCGGUGCUGAAGGGAAGCCGAAGAGUGUGCUACCUGGGAAGUAUAGUCGCAAGGCCGAAACUUAAAGGAAUUGGCGGGGAGACACUACAACGGGUGACGCGUGCGGUUCAAUUAGAUUCUACACCGUGAACCUCACCAGGACCGACAGCAGAAUGAAGGUCAGCCUGAAGGACUUACCUGACACGCUGAGAGGAGUUGCAUGGCCGACGUCAGCCUGUGCCGUGAGGUGACUUGUUAAAUCAAGUAACAGGCGAGACCCACAUCUCUAUUUACUACGUGUACAAUAGAGAGAUUGCCCUCGUAAGAUGGAUGAAAGUGUGGGCUACGUUAGGUGAGUACGGCCCGACAGCCCUGGGCGACACGCGCGCGUCAAUGGUGGAUACAGCGGGAUGCGACUCCGUAAGGAGAAGCUAAUCUCUUAAAGUCCAUCUCAGUCUAGAUUGAGGUUUGAAACUCAGCCUCAUGACACUGGAAUCCGUAGUAAUCGUUUGUUAGCAGCGAACGGUGAAUACGUCACUGUCUCUUGCACACACUGCCCGUCAAACCAACCGAGUUAUGCUAUGGUGAAACUCUUCGGAGGAGAGCCAUGGUAUAGUGAGGUAGGUUAAGUCGUCACAAGGUAACUGUAGGGGAACCUGCAGUUG
This 1233-nucleotide ribosomal RNA is filed under the name groundwater metagenome. RNAcentral describes it as "bacterial SSU rRNA". It matches the Rfam family "Archaeal small subunit ribosomal RNA", at positions 203 to 1467 of the family's 1478-position model. The record is from RNAcentral.